GCGAGUGAGCGGGAAAGCUCAAAUUUAAAAUCUGGUGGCCUUCGGCCAUCCGAGUUGUAAUCUAGAGAAGUGUUACCCGCGUUGGACCGUGUACAAGUCUCCUGGAAUGGAGCGUCAUAGAGGGUGAGAAUCCCGUCUUUGACACGGACUACCAAGGCUUUGUGGUGCGCUCUCAACGAGUCGAGUUGUUUGGGAAUGCAGCUCAAAAUGGGUGGUAAAUUCCAUCUAAAGCUAAAUACAGGCGAGAGACCGAUAGCGAACAAGUACCGUGAGGGAAAGAUGAAAAGAACUUUGGAAAGAGAGUUAAACAGUACGUGAAAUUGCUGAAAGGGAAACGCUGGAAGUCAGUCGCGUUGGCUAGGAAUCAACCUUGCUCUUUUGCAGGGCUUACUUCUUAGUUGACGGGCCAACAUCAAUUUUGACCAUUGGAGAAAGGCUUGGGGAAUGUGGCACCUUCGGGUGUGUUAUAGACCCAGGUUGUAUACAGUGGUUGGGAUUGAGGAACGCAGCACGCCGCAAGGUAGGGUUUCGACCACACCCGUGCUUCGGAUGUUGGCAUAAUGGC
This 565-nucleotide ribosomal RNA is filed under the name Cyathus stercoreus. Its description in RNAcentral is "eukaryotic LSU rRNA". It matches the Rfam family "Eukaryotic large subunit ribosomal RNA", at positions 89 to 638 of the family's 3401-position model. The record is from RNAcentral. Lineage: Eukaryota; Fungi; Basidiomycota; Agaricomycetes; Agaricales; Nidulariaceae.